AUGGCGGUCAGCAAGCAAUGGACGCGGGUGCGCACGCUCGGCCGCGGCGCCUCGGGGGCCGAGGUCUUCCUCGCCGAGGACGAUGUGUCCGGCGAGCUCUUUGCGGUCAAGUCCGCCGUGGGGGCGGCGUGUGCGGCGGCGCUGAGAAGGGAGCAUAUGGUGAUGGCCGGCCUGAGAUCCCCACGCGUCGUCUCCUGCAUCGGCGGCCGCGGCGCCCGCGACGGCUCCUACCAGCUCUUCCUCGAGUUCGCCCCCGGCGGCUCGCUGGCGGAGCAGGUGGCCAGCAGCGGGGGCCUCGACGAGCACGCCGUCCGCGGCUACGCGGCCGAUGUGGCGGCCGCGCUCGCGUAUCUCCACGCCACCGGGAUGGUGCACGGGGACGUCAAGGCGAGGAACGUCGUGAUCGGCGCCGACGGCCGCGCCAAGCUCGCGGAUUUUGGGUGCGCUAGGGAAGCCGCCGCCGGCGGACCGAUCAUCGGUGGCACGCCAGCGUUCAUGGCGCCGGAGGUGGCGCGCGGCGAGGAGCAGGGACCCGCGGCCGACGUCUGGGCGCUCGGCUGCAUGGUUGUUGAGAUGGCCACCGCACGCGCCCCGUGGAGCGGCAUGGACGGCGACGCGCUCGCCGCGCUGCACCUGAUCGGGUACACCCAGGCCGUUCCCGAGCUGCCCCAAUGGCUGUCCGCUGAGGCCAAGGAAUUCUUGGCCAAGUGCCUUGUCAGGCAGGCCAGCGACCGGUUCACGGCGGCGCAGCUGCUGGAGCAUCCGUUCUUGGCCGCUGCCGUUGUCGACGCGAAGCCGCAAGCCGUGGAGAGCAAAUGGGUGUCGCCCAAGAGCACGCUGGACGCGGCAUUCUGGGAGUCGGAGUCUGACACCGACGAGGCGGACGACGAGCCGUCGCACGGCGCGGCCGAGAGGAGGAUCAGCGCAUUGGCCUGCCCUGCGUCGGCGCUCCCCGACUGGGACUCCGACGAGGGAUGGAUCGACGUGCUCUCCGGGCCAACGGAAGCAGUUGCCGUUCCCGCCAAGGUGACGUGUGGCAUCAUCGUGGACGACGCGAUCACCAGUGAAGAGGAGUCAAUCGACCCAGAGUCCGGUGCUCUCGACAUUACCGUGGACGUGGAGUACAGCAGCGUGCUAAACGCAGGGCAAGAAACAUAUGAUGAUGGUUCAGUCAGUCAUCAUCAGUCACCGGAGAAUUUAGCUUCUGACCAAUUAGUGUCAUGUAAAUUGUUACCACUGUUAUUUGGCAACAGAAUUAGUAAUGCAAUCGAUUUCGUUCAUGCCAAAAGCACUCUGCUUCGCAAGCGCUGCUCCUCUGUUUCUUUGCUCUUACUCGUGCUCUGCUCCCCAUUGCGACACGAUUGA
RNAcentral lists this ribosomal RNA (1365 nucleotides) under Triticum aestivum (bread wheat). Its description in RNAcentral is "partial small subunit ribosomal RNA". The record is from RNAcentral. Lineage: Eukaryota; Viridiplantae; Streptophyta; Magnoliopsida; Poales; Poaceae.